CCGCUCCCGUACGCAACCCCAGAGAGGCUGUGUUCCCAAGCCAGCCAGCGCCCACGCCUCUUCUCUCCCGUGGUUCCCCCUCCGGAUUUCUUGCACCCUCCCGUUCCCCUGGCAACGGCCAGUGACCUCACUCGGGUUGUAAACCAAGCCCAGAGUGAAAUCACCACUGUUGCUAUGGAGACCUAGGGGUCGCCCAGGAAUUCCUGCCCCAAUAGGGAUGGGGGAGAGAGACAACUGGCGUUGGAAUGGGCCAUUGAAGUAAACUGGGAAAGUGCAUGUCAGCCAGGGGCCCUGAGCUCAACGGAGCACCUCUCGAUUCACCCCUCCCCCACCCUGAGGCCAGCCCCCAGGACCCUACCAGCGCUCCCACUGAUCCUCCAACCAGCUGUCAUUGUCUGGGCUCGAAUCCAUCUUCAAUACCAGCUGCAUGGAGAGCCCUGCCCGGCCAGGGGGCUGCGGGGCUCCAGGGCUGCCCUCUCAUGCCCAGAAGGGUGGGGGGGCCAGAGCUCAAGGCAGGGCUGGGGCUUCUGGCCUCCACCAACUGGGCCUGCCUUUCUGCAUCCUGCCGGCUGCAGAAGCCUGGGGAGCUCAUUAAAAAUAGAUGGGCCGGAGAGGAGGCCGCAGCUGCCGACCCAGGCCCCAGCCCCAACUCUUCCUGGCCCAGCCCUCGGAUGCGGGCAGCUUCCUCCCUCAGCGGCCCAGACGCGCAGCUAUGUCGCCGCCUCCCCCGCGGGAUCAGGUUACUGCAAUCAAUGCUACUGGCUCCACCUGCCCUUCCAAUGCCCCUGUUGGGGGCUGGAGUGACCCCCCCUCCCUUCCAAGGCCAGGCGAGUAAGCAGACGACAGAAAUCUGGUAAUUUUUUUUCCCUCAAAGCGAGACCCUGAUCUGCUUUAAAGGGCCAGCGCCACACUCAGGGUGCCAAAUGGGAAGAUGGAGGGGCUUCGGAAGCGCUCCAAGAACGGCCGCAAGAAUCCACAUUGCCACAGGCUCCGCCUCCACACCGCCUCGAUGGUUCCUGCAUCUUCUGGAAUGAGCAUUAUAGAGUCUGCGUGUGAACAUGAAGAGUGACAACCAAUACAAUAAGGAAAAAGGGAGGGCAGCCUGGGUCUGGAAAUAGCCCCAUCCGUACAGUGUUUGUCUGGCAUGCAACGAGGUUCUGUGAUCCCUGGCUCUGCAUGUACCUGUAACCCCAGCAUGUGAGAGGCGACAACAAGAGGAUCAGGAACUCGAGGUCCUCCUCAAUUACACACUAGCCCCAGACUCCUAGUCUCUCCACUGCCAGUUCCUGGCCUCAAUCUCCUAAACUCACCCCAGCCUACGCAACUGUAUACCCAGAGAUGACGAACAAGCACCUGUUAGAUGCUGGAAGCCUUGGCUGCCUGGCGGGGUAGGGGCAAUGCGGCCCUUACUUGAAUGUCCAGUAACAGAACACAGCCAGCACCCAGGAGAGGUUCCCCAGAGUUGCUCAUGAAUACGAGCAGGACCAGGGGUCAGAGGCGACAUUCUAGAAUAGGUAAGAUCCCUCGGUGGGGAUGGGGGUGGUGACACAAUUGAUAGGAACCUUUAGUCCCCAAGGCAGAGUUAGAUUGUGCCAUUUCCCAGGGAUCCAGAUACCCAGAUGAGGACCGAUGCUAGAAGGCUGGGGUAGAACUCCUUCCCUGGCUACAGUUGGGCUGCCGUGAGGCUAGCCAGCUCCUCUACACUUGUUCGCCGGGAGCUGGGCCAGAGGCAGCAACUGCCAUUCUGCCUCCUGCCAUCACCACAGCAAGGCUGGUGUUCCCAGCCUGGCUGCUGGGCCACCUUGUUCUCACCAUGUCCUGGGUUCUUCCUGAGGUGACCGUAGUCUCCUCUGAUCAGUGACACUCCCAGGACUGUGGUUCUGGUACUUCCUACCUGCCUUCCCCCAAGCUCCAUGCCCCAAAUCAACUGUGUGAGCAAAGAUCACCAAGCUGAAACCCGGUAAGCACCAAGGUGAUUAGAUGGCUGCCUGACUAGCCUCUCGUCUCCCAAGGAGCCCUGGAAGCACCCUGCUUCAUCCCUGCUGCAUCUUCAUGGUCAGACCAGUGGGAGAAUCUGAUCUGACCCAUCUCCUAGCCAUCCCCCAGCCUGUCCCCAUGCCUCGCCUCACCUGCCUGGAGGAGGGGCAGGAUGGCUCCCCCGUCCACUCUGCCUGGCAGCCACUCUCCUCCUCCUGCUGCUGCCAGUCCCUGCCUGACCCCAGUCCAGCACCUACAGCACCACCGGUCGUAGAUGAAGAUUGCAGCAUCCCCAACUUCCCACACAACUUUGCUCUCCGCGUUGACAGACAGGUGUCGGUGGCCCUGCCUGUUUGCCUGUUCCCAGCAUGUCCUUCCCAGUGUACCUUCCUCCUCUGUGAGGACUGCCUGACCUUCCCCUGUGGGCCCUGGACCUGCACGACCACCACCCUCAGCCUAUGUGGGAGGACAUUGUCUCCCUGUACAUCGUCACCUGCACGGUGGUCAGGGUUAUGAUGGGACCUCUGCAUACUGCCCCUCCUGUUGAGUCUAGCAAGAGGUUCCUUUGGUGAGCAAUGGAAGGCAGUGAAUACAGCUCUGUGAAGAGGUAAAUGAGGGCCCCUGCUCUGUGGUGAGCUGAGGCAGUAGAGCAGGGUCAUCAGAAAGCACCCAGGUUUCCAUCUGAGUCCUGGACUCCAUCCCGACCUUGUUAUUAACUUGCUGUGUGUUCUUGGGAAGUCACUGGUCAUUUCAUAUUUCUGCAUAAGGGAGACAUUUACUGGACUGUUUUUUCCUCUUUUUUUUUUUUUCUUCUACAGUGGUAGAGUUGGAACCUAGUCCCUCCAGCACACCAGGCAAGCACUUAACACUCAUCAUACCCCAUCCCCAAAAGUUGACAUCCGAGGUCUCCCUUAGCCAGGGCUCUUAGCCAUACACUUAAAGCAGGCUGUUCAUUUUGCUUCCCGUGAAUACCCCUUUGUCCUGCUGAUCCUUCCAUUUGGGGUGACUGUCCCCUGUUCCACCCCUUCAGCCCACAUAUCCAGGCCCAAUGGAUCCAUUGUGUAAUGCUCUAAAAUUUCUUCCCUAGAGCUUUCUUUAUGAAGAACAUGGAUCAGUUAAAAAUACCUUUUUCGUUAUGCUGCAAGUAACUCAGUAACUUACAUACAUCUAAAAAUAAGAAGCCAAAUGGUAGUCAAACAGGUAAAGUAGAAAGUCCUCACUCCACCCCACAUCCAGACAUAUCACUAGGGACCAGAUGGAAGACUCCCAUAACCAGAAAAACCACCCAGCACAUACUCAUUUAGAUCAACUUCCAACAGACGCUCCCAUCUUUCACGUAUACACACUCUUGCCCUUCCAAAAGUGCUCCCCAGUCUGACAGGGCUUGCCCUUUCGGUGGCAGAGCUGGAACCAGACUUUCUGGGUUCACAUCAGCUCCACUACCAGCCGCUCUAUGCCUUGGCUUCCUCAUCUGGAGGCAGCGGCAACAGUAGCCUGCUCGUGUGACUAUGAGAGACCCACUCCUGUACACGGAAAAUCCUUAGCAUGGUGCAUUCACCACUACUCUGCUCUCCGGGAGAAACGUGCCCAGUAAUAAUAAUAAUAAAAUAAUAAUAAUAA
Meriones unguiculatus (Mongolian gerbil) is the source of this 3597-nucleotide long non-coding RNA. RefSeq lists it as uncharacterized. The transcript is spliced from 4 exons. The record is from RefSeq and is a predicted model, not a curated record. NCBI's taxonomy places the organism in Eukaryota, Metazoa, Chordata, Mammalia, Rodentia, Muridae.